GACGAACGCUGGCGGCGUGCCUAAUACAUGCAAGUUGAGCGAAGAACCAGGGCUUGCCCUGGGGUAAAGUAGCCAACGGGUGAGUAACUAGUAGGUAACUUACCUCGAUAAACGGCUCAACUAACGGCAACAAGGGCUAAUUAAGGCCGUGCACAAUGGUCAUCCGCUUGGUUCAUAAAGGAAGCACCGGCUUCCGGUCACGGAUAGGUCCGUGGGCCAUUAGUUUGUUGGUUAGGUAACGGAUCACCAAGCCCGCGAUGGGUAGCUGGUCUGAGAGGACGAUCAGCCACACUGGAACUGAGACACGGCCCAGACUCCUACGGGAGGCAGCAGUAGGGAAUCUUGCGCAAUGCGCGAAAGCGUGACGGAGCAACGCCGCGUGGGUGAAGAAGGUCUUCGGGUUGUAAACCCCUUUCAGGAGGGACGAAGGUACGUCUAUGAAUAGCCGUCCGGACUGACGGUACCUCCACAGGAAGCCCCGGCUAACUACGUG
RNAcentral lists this ribosomal RNA (493 nucleotides) under uncultured bacterium. RNAcentral describes it as "partial 16S ribosomal RNA". It matches the Rfam family "Bacterial small subunit ribosomal RNA", at positions 28 to 507 of the family's 1533-position model. The record is from RNAcentral.